Molecule: long non-coding RNA, 7064 nt
Filed under: Equus caballus (horse)
Lineage: Eukaryota; Metazoa; Chordata; Mammalia; Perissodactyla; Equidae
Description: lncRNA (ENSECAG00000057417.1)
Source: RNAcentral
UUCACAGCACUCAGGAGGCGAGAAAAGAGGAAGGGACAAACUCCAUCCCCAGCCAGGGCUGGAGCUUCCGUCCUUCCUUCGAAGGAACGUGGACGAGGGGUUAGAAGUCCUGGUCCCACUCCCUGCCUGGGCUGCUUGGCAGCUCUGUAACUUCCAGCCUGUCACUUCCCCAUUCUGUUUUCUCAUCUGUGCAGUGGGGACAGUGACAGGGAAGCAUGAAGGAGACUAUGGCAGGUGUCUUAGGUUAGGAUCCCCAGGAGGUGAGCCUGAGACGAGGAUUCCUGUGAAAGUAAAGAAAGGAUUCCAUAUACUAUAGUAUAACAUAACCUGACAUAGUCUACUUACUGUGAAGCAUCCCCAGGAGGGCUGGUAGAGGAUGGGAGACCAGGACAUGGAAGGGACAGAAGCCAAGCAAGGGUGUGUCAUCUCAAAGCCCCGCUUUGGAUGGAUCCUGCAGCUGUGCCUGGGAGACAGUGCAGGUCACGUCUCGGAGUCGUCCCACUGUGGGGCAAGGGAGCUGGGGUGUUUAUACUCCUGUACUCACCAGUGACUGGAGGACGUGAGUUCCCCUCAGGAGGUCAUGCACUUCCAGCUCCCUGUAAACGCAGGCCCGGCGCCAGCCUCUGAGAGACACGGGUGCUGGCUGCCCGCGGUGGAAGCAUCUGCUCCAGGAAGGGAGGUGCUCUGUAAACUGUAAGUGCUGCGCCAGGCGUGGGAGGGUCCUCACCUGUGCUCUUCUUUGAGCUCACUGAUCACCCUCAGGCAAGUCAUCUCACCUCUCUGGAGACCCACUUUGUUGGAAGAAAGAGACUUCUGAGGAAAUGAAAGCACCGAUACCCACGGGUUGUCACGAGGGUAGGAGCAGUUGGGAAAUGGUGUCUAUCUGGUGGGGAGUCUGGGGAUCAGCUGCCUCACACACUGCUGGCGGGAGUGUCAAGUGCUCUAACCGCUACGGAGGGCCAACGCGGUGGUAUCUGUCAAAGUUGCAAAUCCACGAAUCCUUCAACCCAGCAGUUUUAUUUCUAGGAUGUUGUCUUACAUUUAUACACGCACACACAUGAAACAAUCAGUUUAUCUGUUGCAGCACUGUUUGUAAUCGCAAAGACAUUAAAAUAACCUAGUUGCUGAAUUAUGUACACACAUGUAAUGGAAUAUUCUGCAACCAAAACAAAAAGGGAACCAGGAAGUGCUCUCUAUACUGUUAUUGGAUGAUCCCCAAGCCCUAUAGUUACAUUAUAAAAAGCAAGAUAAAGAAAAAAUCAGGAUAAAGGACAGUGUGUAUAUUUGACAAACUCUUAUAUAGCCAGGUAUAGUCAUGCACCGCAUAACAAUGUUUCAGUCAACAAUGGACCGGGUGUACGACAGCGGUCCCAUAAGUUUAGUACCAUAGAGCCUAUGUGUGUAGUAAGUGGUACCAUCUAGGUUUGUGUAAGGACACUCUCUGAUGUUCGCACAGUGAUGAAGUCACCUAACGACACGUUUCUCAGAAUGUGUCCCCGUCGUUAAGUGACACGCAACCGUAUUGUCUUAUAUGCUUUCUAAAUAUGAAUUCACUUGGUCUUCUUAGCAAUCCUAUGAGAUAGGUGUUCUUAUUAUGUCCACUUUGCAGAUGAGAAAAGUGAGGCACAGAGAGGUUAAGUAACUUGACCAAGGUCAUGAAACAAGAAAAUGGCAGAGCCGGGGUUUGAGGGGUGGACGGGCUGGAGACUGCGCUUUUUAUCACUACGCUGUAUUUCCUCUCCGUAGCUGGAGAUUACUCCUAACUAAAAACUAUUUUCCUGGCCAGUGAUUGGUCUGAGAAGGCCACAUGCUGCACUUCUGGCCAAUGGGGUGUGAGGGGAUGUCUGCGGGGCACUUCUAGGAAAGAUUUUCUCAUUGAUUCAAAGAGAUGCCCAGAAACAGUCUCCUCUCUUCCCGAUGUUUUCGUGAUGAAGCUGACAGUGGAGGCAGCCACCUAGUGACUGGGAGCGGCCAGGCCUGAAGACAGACUCGUGCUCUGAGGAUGGAGGACUGGAAAGACAGACGGAACCUGGGUCCUUAUAAUGCCCUCGAGCCGCUGAGAUAACCAGCCCUGGGCCCUCCUGUGCUGUGAGAUAAGCAUCUUUACUGCUUCGGGCAGUGGUUCUCAAAGUUGAACGGGCAUUAACAUCACCUGCUAAAACACAGCUGUCUGGACCCCACACCUAAAGUUUCUGAUUCAGUAGGCAAAGCCAAGAAUUUGCAUGUCUAACAAGUUUCCAGUGAUGCUGGCUGGCCUGGCAACCACACUUUGAGAACUACUGUUUAAAGCAUUUUGAGUUAAGGUUUUUGGUCCAUGAAGCCAAAAGCAUCUUGAGGCAUCCUGUGACCUGGAGCUGCGUGCCUCCCAAAUCCUCUGGAGUAGGGGAAGCCAGAGGUCACAGGUCGGAGAGGCAACACAGGGCGGUGGAAUGAGCACCAGAACGGGAGUCAAGAACCCAGGAUGCUCCAGCCCUUCCUUGUGACCUUGAGCAACGGAUUUCUUCCCUGCGGGCUCUGUUUCUCCAUCCAUCAAAUGGGAAGGAGGUUGGACGAGAUCACAGCUAACUUUCCUUCUGGCUUUGACACUCUGUGUUCCAGAAUUCACCAGAACGGAAUGGUCUGCCCUUGGGGACUCCUCCGGUGGUGUGGAGCCAGGCCCCUUCAUUGUGCCAUCAGCUCCUCUCUUGUGCCCGGGGGGAGGCUGCAGGCUCCUGCAGCAUUAGGCGUGGGGAGGCAGAGUCAGAUGCCACAGUCAUUUUGAACACAUUAAAGUUCCAGGCAGAAAGCUCUUUUGCAGCCUGAGUUUGAGCUGGGAAAAGAGAGGCCGGAGCCAAGCCUCUCCCCAUGGGGAUUUCGUCUCCCCCAGCUGGAGCUGGGGUGAGUCAUAGCCGGCAUCCGAGGGCGAGAUGCCCAGGCCCGUGGGAGCCUCUCCCCAGGGGUUCUCACUUUGAAGGUGUUGGGUAAACACAGACUUUGGCCCGAUUUCUCCCUCCAUAUCCAAUCAGUCACUGAGAACUGGCUUCCACCUCCUCAGUGUCACUCCAAUCUGCCAGGUUGUCCCUGUCUCUCUGCCCUGGAUUCUUGGAAUCAGCUCUGACUGGGCUCGCAGCCUCCGGUCUUGCCCCCUGCGCCCUCCUGCCCCACAAUUAACACCUGAUACGGCCUCUGGAAAAACCUACACUCCUGAGCAGGGAACACCCACAUGGCCUUUCACAGUCUGGCCCCCGCCACCUUCUCUGGCAUCCCUGUGCUUUCUACGCUCCAGCUGGAAGAAAAUACUACAGUUUCCAGAAUGUUCCGGGCCCUCUUUCACCUCUGAGGCUUUGCACAUGCUGUGUCCCCUGCCUGGAACAUAAUGCUUUGCAUCCUCCCUCCCUCCAGGCAGCCUCUCAUGUCUCAGCGUGGAUCCCACACCAGUAAGUACCCGAUACCUGAUUUGCUGGGCCUGGCGCAAAAUGAAAAUGUAGGCCCUUGUUCAAAAUGUAUUCGGAAUUUCAAGAUGGCAACAAUGAAGCAUUAAGCCAAGUUUGGGGCCCCUCUAAGCUAGAGUGCUGUGUGAUUCACUGCAUAGGUUGCCUGCCCAUGAAGCGAACCUUGCUCCUGGUUGUCACCCCAGGGUCCCCUCUGUGCCCCACAGCCCUCUGUGUGUCCCAGUUAUGACCUCCCGCAGUGAUUGUCUGUUGUUCUCCUCCUACUAGGGUAUGAGCAUCAGGGGGCAGGACUUGCAUCUGUCUUGUUUCUGGAACGUUCCAGAUGCCUGGCACAGAACUUGGCAGAGUAGGCGCUCCUUAAAGAUCUGUUGAACUGUCAUUCAGCGCAUAAACAAUCUGUUCAACACAUAUUUUUGCACAGCCUCUGCUGUGCCAGGCACGAAGCUAGGCGCUGGGGCGACAUUCCCUGAACCAAACAAAAAGCCUUGCUCUUGGAGCGUUUAGGUUCUCGCAAGGGAAAGCCACACUGUCCUAGGUUGGUUCUGGCAGAAGCAGACCCCGAGGCUGGGAUCUGAGCGCUGACAGGACGCACCGGUAGGGAGAAGCGGAAGUGAGACAGAAAAGCGAGAGAAGCCACACAAGGAAGUGAAACAGCGGGUGACCGCUGUGGGCACGGGGGCUCAGCUCCGAGGAGUUCUGGGGGACGGUGUCCCACCUGAGAGCGAGGAAGAUGUGGGUACUGAUCCAUCGCCUCCCAUUCUUCUGCCGCUCAGGGCUGCUCCUGGCCUGGCCCACCUGCAGGCUGAGCUGCUCCUGCCCCCAGAUGCGGGUCUUCAGGCAGCGUCUCGGGUGCCUGCAGCGAGCAGCCACGGGCAGGGCAGAGAGAGAGCCGGAGAGCAGCGAGGGCUACGGGCGAGCCACAUAUGCAGUAAACAAGAACCACGAAGAAUAAGUAAAACGUGUCCCAGCCAAUAGCAUCCAGAUUGGUCCUAAACUUAAGGAAGACUGAGCCAAGGCCAGCAGAACUUUUUCCAUCUAUAAACGUGACAUCAGAAACGGAGAGAUGACGGCUUCCCUAAGUCAGCGCGUCACUGCGUUUAAUUUGAUGAUGUUGUUUAGAAACUCUAUGUACUGUUUUCUGGGCCAAAACGUAUCAACCAUUGAUGAGGAGAAAAUCAAAAGACAAACGACCAAUUCUCAGUAAAGGGGGAAAUUAUCGUGGUGAUUGAUUACAAGCAUAGACUCCAUGCCCGGGGAGGGGCCGGGGCUCCUGCACAGUCAGAACAGUGAGGAGAAAAGCCUGUGGCGCUCAGGUGCUGAGCAGGGAGCCAGAAGCCUUGGAGUGGAGACCUGCCUCUGCUGCCCGGGUAACCUGACCUUGGACAGGUCACUCCCCUCCGUGGGCGCAUCCCCUCAUCCUCCACAGAAUGACAGUCAUCCCCAUUCAGCCUUCUCCCUGGGUUGUGGUGAGGCUCCACGAGCGAAGCCUGCCAGGACUGGCACUUUAUACCUCAGCUUUCACUUCAUCUUCACAAAACCCAGUGAGGUUUGUCACUUGCCCAAGGUCACAGAGCUAAGAAGAGAAGCCAGGAUUAGAACUCUAGUCUGUGCGCUGUCACUGUGAACUGUAAAGAAACGAAACAAGAGCUAUUAUAAAUAUCAUGGCUGUCAGGACCUCUAGAAGGUUGCAGCAAAAAUAGAAAAACACUCGCUCAGUCAUUAACAAAUAUUUAUUGUAUAGUAUGAGCCAGGCAGUGUUCUAAGCACCAAGAUUAUGGUGGCAUAUGAGCAUAGCGGGGAGACAUACAAUAAGCAGGUAAUAGGGUCAUCUGAUUCAAAAUUCAGGAGUACCGAAAGGUAAACUAUCUCCCUCCCUCGCUUCCCCCACCUGCCCAGAUCCUCUCCCUGGAAGCCAUUUAGGUACUAGUUUCUUGUGUUUGCUUCCAUUGCCGUAAGAUAUUACACAUAAAGACAUCAAACACACACACUCCCCAUCCCUUUUGCUUUUACAGACGGUGGCAUAACAUUCACACCUUGCUUGUUUCCCUUCCCAUCCUGGAGAGCCUUUGUAUCAGCACUGGUAGGGUGUUCUCAUUAUCAUUUUUUGGGUAUGUCUGCAUAGGGUUCCACUCCGUGGGUGUACCAUAUUUAUUUAACCAGUUCCCUACUGAUAGUCACUUAAGUUAUUUCUCUGGAGGGUUUUAAGGGGAAGUAACAUUCUGAUUUAUAUUUUAGAGAGAGCCCUCUGGCUACUGGAUGGAGGACAGCUCCUCGGAGCUUGACGGUGGAGGCAGCAGCCCAGCCCUGCCCAGUUAGGGAGGGCUGCUGUUCUCCAGGAAAGAGAAGAUAAUGGUUUGGGACAGGGUGGCAGCAGUGAGGGCAUGAGAAAUGCGGGCAUGUGGGAUAUUGACGAGAUAGAACCAACAAUACUAGUUGAUGCCUUAAAUGUGGGGGCAUUUCCCGUCUGACUUCUGCAAACAGAGCAGGUGGUAAAGGCAGGAGAACUGGCAGUAAAAGAUGGGUCCUCUGCAUGAGACUCUUCCUUAUGUGGCAAAAACUUAAAAAACAUAUUAUAAGCACUACAUGUGAUGGAACACAUUUGGAAUUUUCCACCUUCCAUGUCUGAAAGGAAUCAAUCCCAAGGAAUUCCCUCCCAUCUCGCCAGCUGCUCUUUCUCAGUCUCCUCUGCAGGGCUCCCUCCGCCUGGCGUCUGACGGCCAGCAUUCCUCAGGGACCAGCCCUGAGCUCCUGCUCCUCCCUGCCCACAUUGUCUCCCUGGAGCAUCUCGUUCUGCCCUGUGGUUUUUAAUGCACCUAUAUGCUGAGUCACAGAUUCCUGUCUCCAACUCUGGCCUCUUCCCUGAGUUCUCCCUGGGGACUUAGAUACCCAGCUGCUUACUGACAUCGUCCCCUGCAUGUUUAAUAGACAUCUCACACUUAACAUGUUCCAAACGGAACCCUUGACCCUCUACUCACAAUCCUGUCUUCCCACGUGUCCAAUAUGUCUGCCAUAUAUCGGUAAAUGGCUACUCCAUUCACCAUCCACCCAGGUGCAUGAACUAUAAUCCUAGGAGUUAUAUUAGAUCACCCAGCUUCUCUUCAAGCCUUGUUGGUUCUAACUAGAAGUUUCAUCUCAAGUCCAUCCACUUCUCUUCAUCCCCAUCAUCCACACCUCUCACCUCCAUCAUCUUUCACUGGAUAAUCCUACACCGGUACCUGCUUAUCUACGCUCUCUGCCUCCAUUCUUGUCUUCCUGGAGCCUCUCUCGACACAUCAACCAAGUGGGUCUUUUCAAAGGCCUACCUUGAAAGUUGCCUCUUCCACUUGAUCUAAAGCCCCUCCCCCCUCAUCCUGUGCCGCCUACAUCAGUGGGAGUGGGACCACUUAACAGUUUGCCAACUCUGAAAGAAUGCUGUGGGAAACUCUCAAGCAACUGGCACCAGAUUUCCAGUCUGUCACCUCGCUGUGUUAGUGCUGCUUAUGGACGAGUGCUCUGGGCAGCUGUGCAGAUAACCCACCCCUUUGAUCUGCUCAGCCUGCCACACAGUACAAUAAAUGUCACGAUAAAUGUCAGCCAGUAUCACUGUGCUUCCUGCACCAACAUUAGCACAGAGGGUUUCAAUAAAGAGUGUCC